CGGAAAGGAACGCUCUAACGGGUUAGAUGUCUCAGGCAGCUGGAAGAGGAUAAAAGCCUAAGCAGAGAGCCUAAGAGGCAGGAGGAAAGGCGCAGGGGAGGCUGAGAGGAGAAACACAUAGGAAGCAAAAGCAACUAUGCUUAAUGAAUACACAGAGAGAGGAGUGGAGGACGACUUUCACAUUGCUGCUUUAGAAGACCGGGGAUGACAGUGUUCCCUUGGAACAAUAAGAAGAUAAUACAAUAUGGACAGGGGGCUGUUGCUAUGCGAAAUUCCAGACACCCACUAGGGUGGGCAAUGGAUGGGUUAAGGCAGAGUCAAUCUGCCUCUCUCAGGAUGACAGCUGUUGCUAGGGAAGCCAGCAAUUACCAAAGAAGGCCAUAGAGACAUUGCUUAUGAAUCCGUCAACAGGUUAUGGAAAAAUAUGCAUCUUGCUUUAUAACUGACAAGCAAGACCUGCCUCUAAAUAAGAGUGGUUUGUUACUUUAUUCAGCAAUCAUUUAAUAAGUGCCCACACCACUCCAACUCCGGACACCUAGUGAACAUUGAAUGAAUUUUCUGAAUUAGCAGAGCUGUGAAAAAAACCUGCCAAGUAUGCAUCCUUGAUUGAUUGAUUACACAUGUCAUGGAUUUCAAGUUUU
This 641-nucleotide long non-coding RNA is filed under the name Equus caballus (horse). RNAcentral describes it as "lncRNA (ENSECAG00000052347.1)". The record is from RNAcentral. Lineage: Eukaryota; Metazoa; Chordata; Mammalia; Perissodactyla; Equidae.